RNAcentral lists this long non-coding RNA (213 nucleotides) under Elaeis guineensis (African oil palm). RNAcentral's name for it is "long non-coding RNA (EGUI_LNC077941)". The record is from RNAcentral. Lineage: Eukaryota; Viridiplantae; Streptophyta; Magnoliopsida; Arecales; Arecaceae.
CAACUUAUAUAUUUAUUGUGAUUUGUAUUUAGAUUAAUUUUAAUCUGAUUUGACCUGAAAAUGGUUGAUAGAUCAGUGACUAAUAAUAAUAUUAUAUCGGACCGUCCAAUCCAGUGGAUUAGAAUUGUGUUUAUUUUUUUUUAUCCGACUUACAUAUGGAUUAGAUUUGCAUUGUGCCUAUCUGAUCAACUUGCAGCCUUUAUAUCACAGCAG